AGGAAGGAGAGUCGUAACAAGGUCUCCGUAGGUGAACCCACAGAAUGAUCAUUU
Molecule: ribosomal RNA, 54 nt
Filed under: Polylepis australis
Lineage: Eukaryota; Viridiplantae; Streptophyta; Magnoliopsida; Rosales; Rosaceae
Description: partial 18S ribosomal RNA
Source: RNAcentral